CGGGUGAGUAAUGCGUGACCAACCUCGCCCCAUGCUCCAGAAUAGCUCUUGGAAACGGGUGGUAAUGCUGGAUGCUCCAACUUGACGCAUGUCUUGUUGGGAAAGUGUUUAGUGGCAUGGGAUGGGGUCGCGUCCUAUCAGCUUGUAGGCGGGGUAAUGGCCCACCUAGGCUUCGACGGGUAGCCGGCCUGAGAGGGCGGACGGCCACAUUGGGACUGAGAUACGGCCCAGACUCCUACGGGAGGCAGCAGUG
RNAcentral lists this ribosomal RNA (253 nucleotides) under uncultured Gardnerella sp. RNAcentral's name for it is "partial 16S ribosomal RNA". It matches the Rfam family "Bacterial small subunit ribosomal RNA", at positions 103 to 356 of the family's 1533-position model. The record is from RNAcentral. Lineage: Bacteria; Bacillati; Actinomycetota; Actinomycetes; Bifidobacteriales; Bifidobacteriaceae.